RNAcentral lists this long non-coding RNA (723 nucleotides) under Physcomitrium patens. RNAcentral's name for it is "long non-coding RNA (PPAT_LNC009987)". Lineage: Eukaryota; Viridiplantae; Streptophyta; Bryopsida; Funariales; Funariaceae. The record is from RNAcentral.
UAGGAUUUAGCUGGAAUUUGGUUAGGAUUUGGACCUUGUCUAAGAUUUAAUUAGGAUUUGGUUAUGGUUUCAUUUAAGAUUUAAGAUUUAGUUAGGAUUUGAUUUAGAAUUUAGGGUUUGGUUAAGAUUUGGUAAGAGUGUGAUUUAAGGUCUAAAAUUUGUCUAGAAUUUGGUUUAGAAUUUAAGAUUUGAUUAGGAUUUCGCUUAAGAUUUAAGAUUUAAGAUUUGGUUAAGUUUUGGUUUAGAAUUUGGUUAAGGUUUGAUUAGGAUUUGGAAUUUGUAUAGGAUUUGAUUAAGAUUUGAUUAGGAUUUGAUUUAGGAUUUAAAGUUUGAUUGGAAUUGAUUUAGAAUUUUGUAUUUGAUUAAUAUUUGAUUUAAGAUUUAAGAUUUAGCAUUUUACAUUUGAUUAGCAUUUGAUUUAGGAUUUAGGAUUUUUUUAGGAUUUGAUUAGAAUUUAAUUUAGGAUUUAGGAUUUGAUUAGGAUUUGGAAUUUGUCUAAGAUUUAAUUUAAGAUUUAGAAUUUAAUUAAGAUUUUUCUUAGAUUUUGAUUGAAGUCCAUUAGGAUUUUAACUAGGAUUAAAUUAGAUAUUUCUACUAUAUAUUUUUAUGUGUAUUUCUACUAUAUAUUUUUAUAAUUAUUAAGAUAUCAUACGAUAGUCAUUUUUUUAUUAUAUUAGGAAGAACAUGGUUAUACAACAUAAAAGCCACUCAUGUUUGAAAUAA